CGGGGGGGGCGGGCUUACCCAUGCAAGUCGAGCGGUAACAGAGAUAGCUUGCUAUCUGCUGACGAGCGGCGGACGGGUGAGUAAUGCUUGGGAAUAUGCCUUAUGGUGGGGGACAACAGUUGGAAACGACUGCUAAUACCGCAUAACGUCUACGGACCAAAGGGGGGGAUGCUUCGGCACCUCCCGCCAUUUGAUUAGCCCAAGUGAGAUUAGCUAGUAGGUGAGGUAAGAGCUCACCUAGGCGACGAUCUCUAGCUGGUUUGAGAGGAUGAUCAGCCACACUGGGACUGAGACACGGCCCAGACUCCUACGGGAGGCAGCAGUGGGGAAUAUUGCACAAUGGGCGAAAGCCUGAUGCAGCCAUGCCGCGUGUGUGAAGAAGGCCUUCGGGUUGUAAAGCACUUUCAGCGAGGAGGAAAGGUUAGUGGUUAAUAGCCACUAGCUGUGACGUUACUCGCAGAAGAAGCACCGGCUAACUUCGUGCCAGCAGCCGCGGUAAC
This 500-nucleotide ribosomal RNA is filed under the name uncultured Colwellia sp. Its description in RNAcentral is "bacterial SSU rRNA". It matches the Rfam family "Bacterial small subunit ribosomal RNA", at positions 34 to 524 of the family's 1533-position model. Lineage: Bacteria; Pseudomonadati; Pseudomonadota; Gammaproteobacteria; Alteromonadales; Colwelliaceae. The record is from RNAcentral.